RNAcentral lists this ribosomal RNA (464 nucleotides) under uncultured bacterium. RNAcentral describes it as "partial 16S ribosomal RNA". It matches the Rfam family "Bacterial small subunit ribosomal RNA", at positions 28 to 507 of the family's 1533-position model. The record is from RNAcentral.
GACGAACGCUGGCGGCGUGCUUAACACAUGCAAGUCGAACGGAAAGGCCCUGCUUGCAGGGUACUCGAGUGGCGAACGGGUGAGUAACACGUGGGUGAUCUGCCCUGCACUUCGGGAUAAGCCUGGGAAACUGGGUCUAAUACCGGAUAGGAGCCAUUCUUAGUGUGAUGGUUGGAAAGUUUUUUCGGUGUAGGAUGAGCUCGCGGCCUAUCAGCUUGUUGGUGGGGUAAUGGCCUACCAAGGCGGCGACGGGUAGCCGGCCUGAGAGGGUGGACGGCCACAUUGGGACUGAGAUACGGCCCAGACUCCUACGGGAGGCAGCAGUGGGGAAUAUUGCACAAUGGGCGCAAGCCUGAUGCAGCGACGCCGCGUGGGGGAUGACGGCCUUCGGGUUGUAAACUCCUUUCGCUAGGGACGAAGCUUUUGUGACGGUACCUAGAUAAGAAGCACCGGCUAACUACGUG